RNAcentral lists this transfer RNA (76 nucleotides) under Gammaproteobacteria bacterium. RNAcentral's name for it is "tRNA-Thr". It matches the Rfam family "tRNA". From Rfam's summary of the family: Transfer RNA (tRNA) molecules are approximately 80 nucleotides in length. Their secondary structure includes four short double-helical elements and three loops (D, anti-codon, and T loops). Further hydrogen bonds mediate the characteristic L-shaped molecular structure. tRNAs have two regions of fundamental functional importance: the anti-codon, which is responsible for specific mRNA codon recognition, and the 3' end, to which the tRNAs corresponding amino acid is attached (by aminoacyl-tRNA synthetases). tRNAs cope with the degeneracy of the genetic code in two manners: having more than one tRNA (with a specific anti-codon) for a particular amino acid; and 'wobble' base-pairing, i.e. permitting non-standard base-pairing at the 3rd anti-codon position. Lineage: Bacteria; Pseudomonadati; Pseudomonadota; Gammaproteobacteria. The record is from RNAcentral. RNAcentral also lists the same sequence under 1 other name.
GCCCACAUAGCUCAGCAGGUAGAGCACUUCCAUGGUAAGGAAGAGGUCACCGGUUCAAUUCCGGUUGUGGGCUCCG